CUGUCAGGGAUCGGGGGUAGGGACAAAGAGUUUUUUAUAUUCAGGGAUUGGGGACGGGGAAUGUGAUCUUGAGCCCCAGUCUAGCCCAUUGUCAUUCAUCAUAUAAUGCCAUCUUUACAACAAAUGAACUUGUGCUAACCUAUUGUGGUCGUAUUUUUACUAGAGAUGAACGAUGACGAUGACGACGACGACGGUGCACGGAUGAAUCAAAUGUUAUAUGAUUUCGCUGCACUCGCAACAUAGUGGCAGAAUGAAUUGAACUAUGCUUAUGUUGAAGUGCAUAGAAUUCCAUCUUGAUAGGGCGGACAUGGAUUGCACAGUGGCCUAUUCCGAUAUGAAUUGUGCAUGCCCAAACAUGUGUUCACUCGGUUAUGUGCUACAUUGGUAAAUGACUUCCAGUUGUGUGUACCCGAGCUUGCGCACGGCUUGCACGUUGAGGAGAGUGUUGCAAUAUGCAUUUAUGUGCUUAAAAACCUGCCAAACAGGCAGCUACAAGAACAAUUCCAACAAUCCGGUGAAACAAUUUCACGGUAUUUUCAUAAUGUAUCAAAAGCAAUGAAAAAGUUCACAAUCGCUCACUGCUAGCCCCCCUCUCAGUUUCAUACGUACAAGGAUCCCUAUCUGCAGUCCUAACCACAAUAUUUGCCAUUCAAAGUGCACAAAACUAUUAUUCAACGUUUUGGAUUAUGUUCAUAUGAAGAUGUGACUUUGAAGAUGCAAUUACACAUUCAAUUUAUUUGUUGAUAUUAAUGUGCGACUGUCGCUUACGUGAUGUGUAUGAUUGCUUAGGUGCCUUGGAUGAGACACACGUGAUAGCAUGCAUAAAGGAGUCAGAAGCAGCCAUGUAUUUCAGUCGAAAUAGGUGCCACUCUCAGAACAUUUUGGCGGUGUGUGAUGUUAACAUGUGAUUCGUGUUUGUAUCUUACAGGUGGGAGGGCAUCAUGCAUGAUAGUCGGGUUUUGAGCAAUGUAACCGAGGAUGCAGAAUAAAAUUUCCCUACUCCACUCGAUAAUAUAGCAAUAAGAAGGGCGUCCUAGCACUAUACAAAGGCAACCGAUACAACAAACCGGAAUUUCAAAGGCACAAUUCAAGAAACCAUAAUGAGUUGUUCAACUGUGCACACUCAUCUUUGCGAAGUGUGAUUGAGCGGGUGCUUGGAAGGCGCGAUGGAGAUUUCUUAAAGAUAUGCCUUGGUUUGAUUUUCGUAAAGUGCAGGUGCCAUUGGUUGCAGUAUCCAUGGCUUUACAUAAUUUUAUAUGUAGAAAUAGUCAAGACGAUGAGAUAGUUGUAGCUGUCACCAAUGUGACAAAGUAUGCUUAUCCGGAUAUGCCUGACCGAGAUGAUUUGGCUACCCUUGACGAUGCCCUGAUAUCUGGGGACGACGACAUUGAGAUGGCGCAGGUGUGGGCUCAAAUCAGGGUAGAGUUGGUCCAAAUUAGCCGUAAUGCUCACUAGCUGCAAAUGUUAAGCGAUGCAUGUCAAUACUAUGCUAUGUUUCAGGAAAUUGGAGAAGACAGCUUGUGUAUUUUUUUUAACUUUAAGUUUUUAUAUGGUGGAAGCUGUUGGUAGCAGAGUUUGGUUGGAGUUUUACAGAUAAGUUUUGGCAUUACUUUUUAAUGGAGUUUUGCACAGAGAAGUUCAAACCAAUUUUAUUUU
Molecule: long non-coding RNA, 1656 nt
Organism: Camellia sinensis
Lineage: Eukaryota; Viridiplantae; Streptophyta; Magnoliopsida; Ericales; Theaceae
Source: RefSeq, a predicted model, not a curated record